UCUCUCUGACACCCUCAAAAUCAUAAAACUAGAACCAAGCUAUUCAGGUCUUCCUUUCCCAGAGGAGCUGUGCUCUGUUCUAUAAAGAAACACAGACCAUCGGAUUUCUGUACUCAUUAAGCAUCUGAUGCUGGCCUUCUUCCCAGGAUCACCCUGAGGAAAAUUACAGAACCUAGAGGGGAAGUAUGGACAGCAGGAACUUUUAAAACGUCGAGAAUGGCCAACUGACAACUUCCAACAUUUGAAUCUACAAUUUAACAAGAUGGUGAGGCAGUCCCCUUCAAGGGGAUUGGGCUGAUUACUCAACAAGAGGAAGACAUGAGCAUGUGAACACCUGGAAUAGAGCUCCCUCGGCAGGAGAAAAGCAAGUGGAAAGGCCCAGAGGCAGGAAGAUACAGGACUGAGUGACAGGCGGACCAAGUGGCUGAGUCACAGCCAAGCAGAGACGGUGGGAGGCGUGCCUGAAGAGGCAGACAGAGGCUGAGGCUAGGAGGCCAAGGUGUAUGGACUUUGUAUGAGUUGCAGUGGGGGUUUUCAGCAGGAGAGUCAUAAGAUCUAAUAAAAGCAAAUUUUAAAAGAUU
Molecule: long non-coding RNA, 581 nt
Organism: Suricata suricatta (meerkat)
Lineage: Eukaryota; Metazoa; Chordata; Mammalia; Carnivora; Herpestidae
Exons: 2
Source: RefSeq, a predicted model, not a curated record